Molecule: non-coding RNA, 94 nt
Organism: Ricinus communis (castor bean)
Lineage: Eukaryota; Viridiplantae; Streptophyta; Magnoliopsida; Malpighiales; Euphorbiaceae
Source: Rfam
CUGUCCCCUAGAGUUCCCUUGAGCACUUCACUGGGAUGAAAAAAGGUCCAGUCUUCCUUCCUACUGAAGUGUUUGGGGGAACUCCUGGUGUCAU